This 484-nucleotide ribosomal RNA is filed under the name uncultured bacterium. RNAcentral's name for it is "bacterial SSU rRNA". It matches the Rfam family "Bacterial small subunit ribosomal RNA", at positions 30 to 507 of the family's 1533-position model. The record is from RNAcentral.
AUUGAACGCUGGCGGCAUGCCUUACACAUGCAAGUCGAACGGCAGCACGGGAGCAAUCCUGGUGGCGAGUGGUGAACGGGUGAGUAAUAUAUCGGAACGUGCCCAGUCGUGGGGGAUAACGUAGCGAAAGCUACGCUAAUACCGCAUACGAUCUAUGGAUGAAAGCGGGGGAUCGCAAGACCUCGCGCGAUUGGAGCGGCCGAUAUCAGAUUAGGUAGUUGGUGAGGUAAAGGCUCACCAAGCCGACGAUCUGUAGCUGGUCUGAGAGGACGACCAGCCACACUGGGACUGAGACACGGCCCAGACUCCUACGGGAGGCAGCAGUGGGGAAUUUUGGACAAUGGGCGCAAGCCUGAUCCAGCAAUGCCGCGUGCAGGAUGAAGGCCUUCGGGUUGUAAACUGCUUUUGUACGGAACGAAACGGUGAGCUCUAAUACAGUUUGCUAAUGACGGUACCGUAAGAAUAAGCACCGGCUAACUACGUG